RNAcentral lists this non-coding RNA (45 nucleotides) under Schistosoma mansoni. Lineage: Eukaryota; Metazoa; Platyhelminthes; Trematoda; Strigeidida; Schistosomatidae. The record is from RNAcentral.
UUCCAGGUGACGAAUCCCAAAUGGGACGAAACGUGCGUCCUGGAU